AGUGAACGCUGGCGGUAGGCCUAACACAUGCAAGUCGAACGGCAGCACAGUAAGAGCUUGCUCUUACGGGUGGCGAGUGGCGGACGGGUGAGGAAUACAUCGGAAUCUACUUUUUCGUGGGGGAUAACGUAGGGAAACUUACGCUAAUACCGCAUACGACCUACGGGUGAAAGCAGGGGAUCUUCGGACCUUGCGCGAUUGAAUGAGCCGAUGUCGGAUUAGCUAGUUGGCGGGGUAAAGGCCCACCAAGGCGACGAUCCGUAGCUGGUCUGAGAGGAUGGUCAGCCACACGGGAACUGAGACACGGUCCAGCCUCCUACGGGAGGCAGCAGUGGGGAAUAUUGGACAAUGGGCGCAAGCCUGAUCCAGCCAUACCGCGUGGGUGAAGAAGGCCUUCGGGUUGUAAAGCCCUUUUGUUGGGAAAGAAAAGCAGCAGGUUAAGACCCCGCUGUUCUGACGGUACCCAAAGAAUAAGCACCGGCUAACUUCGU
RNAcentral lists this ribosomal RNA (491 nucleotides) under uncultured bacterium. RNAcentral describes it as "partial 16S ribosomal RNA". It matches the Rfam family "Bacterial small subunit ribosomal RNA", at positions 29 to 506 of the family's 1533-position model. The record is from RNAcentral.